AUAACUAAGCGGAGGAAAAGAAACUAACCAGGAUUCCCCCAGUAACGGCGAGUGAAGCGGGAAGAGCUCACAUUUAAAAUCUGGCACUCGUGCCGAAUUGUAGUCUAAAGAGGUAGGACCCAGCAGACGAGGUGCUUCGAAGUCUCUUGGAAAAGAGCAUCAAGGAGGGUGACAAUCCCGUUGAACACCGCAAUCGUCUUGCGUGCGGUCCGCUUUCUAUGAGUCGAGUUGCUUGGGAUUGCAGCUCAAAGUGGGUGGUAAAUUCCAUCUAAAGCUAAAUACGCGUGGGAGACCGAUAGCGAACAAGUACCGUGAGGGAAAGAUGCAAAGAACUUUGAAAAGAGAGUGAAAGAGUGCCUGAAAUUGCUGAAAGGGAAGCGAAGGAUUAUCAGUGUCUGGCGGUUCCGCUUCUCCUGCGUUCCUCGGAACGCUGGAUCGCGUUUCCGUCGUGGUCAGUGCCGGCUAGCUUUGCGGGAGCCUGCGUCACGGGAGGUACGUCUCCUCGGAGAUGGAAUGCCGUGGCGUGUCGUCGCGAGGCUGGCCGGUCCUGACGAAAUGGUAUUCUUCAC
This 569-nucleotide ribosomal RNA is filed under the name Fucus vesiculosus. RNAcentral's name for it is "eukaryotic LSU rRNA". It matches the Rfam family "Eukaryotic large subunit ribosomal RNA", at positions 42 to 646 of the family's 3401-position model. Lineage: Eukaryota; Phaeophyceae; Fucales; Fucaceae. The record is from RNAcentral.